AAUUAAGUACCAAUUAAAAAUUGGGGUCGAUGUAAUCAACUGGUCCUCUACCCGCAAAAUUUCAGGCCUUGUGCCUUCAGUAAAAAGGAUUAUUAUUAUUAUUAUUAUUAUUAUUGAACUGGAUGAAUAAUUAGAGAAUCAAACAUGGGCUAUUUCAUUUGGUUCUUUACUUUCAGAGUUCAAAACCCGUCAAGAUCAAUUUUGCCUUUCUUCUCCUCAAGGGUUGAUAAAAUAAUAUACCCGUCACGAAUUGGGCUCAAUAUAAUUGAAUAUUCUCUCCUGCCAAAAUUUCUGGCAUUGUUGAUCUUGGCGGAAUUCUUUAUGUUUGUUUUAAGCUGAAAUUCUUCCAAGGUCAACUGUACCGUUCAUCCUUUCGGAGUCAAUAAACUAAAGUCUCAGUGAAAUACUGGGUUCAAUGAAAAAGGGACUAACCCCUCCCUUCAAAAUUUCUCACCUUGUGCUGUAUUAUUAAAGGUGUCAAACUGGCAGACUUAUUUAGAGCAUUAGAAAAAAAUGCCCAGCUGUUUUUUUUUUCUCUGGACCUUUAUGUUCUGAGUUCAAAUGCUGCCGAGAUCAAUUUUGCCUUUUGUCCUUUCAAGGUCAAUACGAUAAAAGUAUCGGUCAAGUAUUGCGAUUGACAAUAUUGGCCAUUUCCCUUCCCCUCAAAAUUACUGGCCUUAAACCAAAAUCAGGAACCAUUAUUAUUCUGAUUAUCUUUUGGGGUGGCAAGCUGGCACAAUUGGUAACAUGCCAGACAAAAAGCUCUUUACGUUCUGGGUUCAAAUUCUGCUAAGGUUGACUUUUCCUUUCAUCCAUUUGGGGGACAAUAAAAUAAGUACCAGUUGCGCACUGGGGCCAAUGAAAUUGACUAGCCUCCACCCC
Long non-coding RNA from Octopus sinensis (East Asian common octopus), 882 nucleotides. RefSeq lists it as uncharacterized. The transcript is spliced from 2 exons. The record is from RefSeq and is a predicted model, not a curated record. NCBI's taxonomy places the organism in Eukaryota, Metazoa, Mollusca, Cephalopoda, Octopoda, Octopodidae.